Danaus plexippus (monarch butterfly) is the source of this 1334-nucleotide long non-coding RNA. RefSeq lists it as uncharacterized. The record is from RefSeq and is a predicted model, not a curated record. Lineage: Eukaryota; Metazoa; Arthropoda; Insecta; Lepidoptera; Nymphalidae. The transcript has 3 exons.
ACUCGAUCUAUAAGAACUUGCAUGAUUUUAAUAUCAAACUACUGAGACCAUUGCUUUAUUUAAAUACGACAAUAGACAUACUCUUCAUAGUAAUAUUUGCAACAUGUCUGGUUAACACACGGCAGUGCCUCUACAAAAACGAUGUUGUAAUUCAAACGAAAGCAUACUCGACUCCAAAAUCCUGAUCAAAUACAUCUAUUGCGAAUAUAACUAAUUUCUGUUCCUUUUCUGCUAACCGUGGUCAUGCGUUUGAAUCGUGUUUCCGACGGGAAUAAGGAGAUCACGCCGAAUUUUAAUUUAAUACCAACUGGUAAAUGUACUCUUAAAUAAAAUGCAAGAUCGCAGUGGUGCGUUAUACAAGAAUCAAUUGCAAAUGAAAUCUCUGGGUGUAGAAAACAAAUCGUAAACUAUUUGCGUGGAUUGAGAUCGGACCUUACUAUUUCAAUGAAUAGUUAAAUAGUUAUUAAUGUAGAAAUAAUUUUCUAUAGUUCCAGGUUUUGAAACGACUACUGAUAUAUUAACCGGAGCAGAUUUAUUACGUGAUAAGAAUACAUGUGGAAAAUUUAGUAUCCUUGCCGAUGUUUUGCACAUACGAACAAGUCAAUUAUGCUUUGACAGUUUAGAUUACAAUUCAACAAUCAGUCCGUUUUAAUCGAAGUAAUGCAUCAACACAUUCAAAACAGGAUGGUCGAGGCGGAGAGAAGAUACAAAGCUAGGUUUUUGAGAGGUCGAGCUACGAUUAAAAGAUUCCAGAAGGGAGAUAUUACCGUGGAUGACUUCGAAAUGUGGCACAUGACCAGCUACGAAUGUGGCACAUGACCAGCUACGAUGAGACUUCACAGCAUCUGAGGGACGACACAGAAUUACUAAGCAAGCAGUUAGGUGGACGGUUCGCCUACCUAAUAGUUAUCCGAAAACAAUGCAGAGCACGCAUCAGUAUAACCGUAUCGGCAUGACUUCGGACGAUGAAGCAUCAAUUCUUGAACCUGGCCCAUACUCUACGAGACCUGCAACGGGUACGAGAACAUAACGAAAGCUAAGCAAGAGAGAACACAUCACCAGGCAGGUGCAGAGCACGCACCGCCUGCCAGAAUGGCCGUAUCGGCGCAAGCAGCUUCAAUGACGGAUGCAACAUGGAAAUAACUGGCACCAAUUAUUAUAACACCUUAUUGGUCGUCGUUACUAUUGUUAAAAGUAAAACGAAAUCAAAGAGAAUAGAACUAUGUUUGAAUUCUGGUUUAAAUAUGACGUCUGGACGCACGACAGGGGACUGCAGAGUUCAGCGAGUGCGGAGCAUAAAGAACCUUCGAGAAAUACAAGAACAUUUAGAAGAA